RNAcentral lists this ribosomal RNA (769 nucleotides) under uncultured bacterium. RNAcentral describes it as "bacterial SSU rRNA". It matches the Rfam family "Bacterial small subunit ribosomal RNA", at positions 560 to 1327 of the family's 1533-position model. The record is from RNAcentral.
GUAAAGCGCGCGCAGGUGGUUCCUUAAGUCUGAUGUGAAAGCCCACGGCUCAACCGUGGAGGGUCAUUGGAAACUGGGGAACUUGAGUGCAGAAGAGGAAAGUGGAAUUCCACGUGUAGCGGUGAAAUGCGUAGAGAUGUGGAGGAACACCAGUGGCGAAGGCGACUUUCUGGUCUGUAACUGACACUGAGGCGCGAAAGCGUGGGGAGCGAACAGGAUUAGAUACCCUGGUAGUCCACGCCGUAAACGAUGAGUGCUAAGUGUUAGAGGGUUUCCGCCCUUUAGUGCUGCAGCAAACGCAUUAAGCACUCCGCCUGGGGAGUACGGCCGCAAGGCUGAAACUCAAAGGAAUUGACGGGGGCCCGCACAAGCGGUGGAGCAUGUGGUUUAAUUCGAAGCAACGCGAAGAACCUUACCAGGUCUUGACAUCCUCUGACACUCCUAGAGAUAGGACGUUCCCCUUCGGGGGACAGAGUGACAGGUGGUGCACGGUUGUCGUCAGCUCGUGUCGUGAGAUGUUGGGUUAAGUCCCGCAACGAGCGCAACCCUUGAUCUUAGUUGCCAGCAUUCAGUUGGGCACUCUAAGGUGACUGCCGGUGACAAACCGGAGGAAGGUGGGGAUGACGUCAAAUCAUCAUGCCCCUUAUGACCUGGGCUACACACGUGCUACAAUGGAUAGAACAAAGGGCAGCAAAGCCGCGAGGUCAAGCAAAUCCCAUAAAUCUAUUCUCAGUUCGGAUUGCAGGCUGCAACUCGCCUGCAUGAAGCC